GCAAGUCGAGCGAGAACGGUCUUCGGACUUAUUAAAGCGGCGGACGGGUGAGUAACGCGUGGGAAUCUACCAAGUAGUGGGGGACAACAGUUGGAAACGACUGCUAAUACCGCAUACGCCCUACGGGGGAAAGUGGGGGAUCUUCGGACCUCAUGCUAUUUGAUGAGCCCGCGUAAGAUUAGCUUGUUGGUGAGGUAAUGGCUCACCAAGGCGACGAUCUUUAGCUGGUCUGAGAGGAUGAUC
RNAcentral lists this ribosomal RNA (243 nucleotides) under uncultured bacterium. RNAcentral describes it as "partial 16S ribosomal RNA". It matches the Rfam family "Bacterial small subunit ribosomal RNA", at positions 57 to 305 of the family's 1533-position model. The record is from RNAcentral.